This is a long non-coding RNA of Panthera uncia (snow leopard), 1631 nucleotides long. RefSeq lists it as uncharacterized. The transcript has 3 exons. The record is from RefSeq and is a predicted model, not a curated record. NCBI's taxonomy places the organism in Eukaryota, Metazoa, Chordata, Mammalia, Carnivora, Felidae.
UGGGGCGCCACAGACUCAGACCCACACGCAGUCGGGACUCUACAGGGAGAUGCGGAGUGAAGACGGCCCCCAGAGGUAUCCUGUGCCAGGCUGGAAUAGCCAGGCCCUAGCCCCUCCCCGGCCCCUUGCGGUCCCUGGUUCGGGUGUCCCGGAAGUGCACGGACUUGACCUGGAAGUGGAGGGGAAUCCAGAAGGCGUUGCCGGUAGGCUGGAGGCUCCUGUGCUCCCACCAGUGAAGGGCGGGUUCCUUCUGGAAAGGAGAGGAAAGAAGCGUCUCCAUGCCUGUCGCACCAGCCGCGAGACCCUGGGCAUGCGCUUAACACCUCUGAGCUCAGCCCUCUUGUGGCCCAACUCUUCCGCCGUCUGAGAGCAAACAACUUCAGCAUCGCCUUAGAAUCUAUAUUCCAUUCAUGACAUCGGCAUCUGUGGACAUUUGAAAAGUAUUCAGACGUGUAUGGGUGAGACAGAUCUAUUUAGUCUGCUGACAAUGGAUGGUUCCCUGAUGGAUUCUCCGGAAGAACCCCUACCCGGGUGCCUCCAGGCUGGGGACCAGUCGGGUAUCAACAAAUGAAGUGAGGUCCAAUGGGAUGAUGGAGCAUGGUUGUGAGCGGAGGAGACAAGCACAAUCCGGCUGCAUGUGUUUGCGAUGCCCUAUGAGCACGGGAUUCCGUGGGCCCACAAUUCGUGGGAGCUCAGUGUCUCUCAGCACGAGCACAAGAUAAGUGUAUUACAGGCGUGGACAGCCCUGAAAGGUCACGCUUUCCGUUUGAACCAGAACUCGCUUCCAAUGCAGAAAGAAGGCCCUGGUUCCUGUAGGAACCAGGAACAACUGAGGGGCCCUCCCUGCCACAUGCCGUCUUACAUGUUACUGUCCUGUACCAGCUGACCACUGACGCUGGCAAUGAGGCCCAAAGAAAAGGGAAAGAUGAGGCAGCCCACGGUUUCUUUUCCUUCAGGGCUCGCUUUUCUCAGCAGGAAGCUGAAGGUAGAGCAUGUUGAUGGGAUAUGUGCAUAACAAGAAGCGAAGUAAAAACAGUUUCCGCUGUCCUGGCAAGAACGAAAUACACAUGCAUAUACUGGCUAUGAAAUACAAUCUGUGUAAUUCAGCGAUUCUUUAUAUGAGUUAAUGUUCUUAUAUUUACAUGAAAACUGGCAUUGCACAGCAUAAAGAUAAACAGCAUAAUGUAUGCAAAUAAUUUAAACGUUUUAUUUUAUUUACUUAGAGUGACAUUAAAUAGCAAGCAAUCACUAUGGCAAGAUGAAACAGACAGAAACCACAGGAGGGAAAAAGUUUGCAUUUUGGGGUUUUUAGUGACACGAUUUCCUGCCUUUUUAAGCAGGGGACCCCCAUUUUCACUUUGCAUUGGGCCCUGUACCUGUGCAGCCCGGCUUGCCUUCAGAGCACGUCCAGGUGAUCCCCUCCGGAACCUCUCCAGCCUGCAGCCACUGCCCCACCCCCAAACACCGAGAACUUUCCUGCAAUGGCCACUGCCACCCAUUCAUUCAGUGAGACGUCCUUGUCCUCCCCUCCUUCGUCUUUUUCUAAUGACAUUGCUCUACCUCACAGGACUGUCAGAAGGCACAAGGGGAUUCUGUGACUGGAAAGCUCUGGAAGAUCUUUGUUGUAUUUA